Long non-coding RNA from Asterias rubens (European starfish), 346 nucleotides. RefSeq lists it as uncharacterized. NCBI's taxonomy places the organism in Eukaryota, Metazoa, Echinodermata, Asteroidea, Forcipulatida, Asteriidae. The transcript is spliced from 3 exons. The record is from RefSeq and is a predicted model, not a curated record.
CGGGGUCGAGCAAUUCUGCGAGUCCAUGACUGACAAUCCGAUUGUUCUAUCAAAUUCAACUUGCCAGAGCAACCAGGAUCUGUUCAACACAUUGACAGGGAGUGAAGCCAAUUUUUACGGCGACCUUCGAAUUUCUGAGGUCGCUUCGUGGGUGUCUCUGGGCACGUGGCUCGUACUUACAGGAGUGGCACUGAUAAGUAUUUGCGUCCGAGAUGAUGACAAGAACAUGGCUUAGUCUGGUUCCCAAGAGGACUAUGAUGUAGCAAUACAUGUGCUCGUCUGGAAUCAAGUCUUAAUAGGGACCUUUCGGGACGCAUGGUGGCAGCAGACAUACCAGGUCACAAAA